CAAUGGAGAAGUAGAGUAUGAGUCAAGAAUUGAGAGAUGAGCAAUAUACAUUAGCAUUAUAAAACACUAAAGAAAGUAUACAUGCCUAGAGCCUCUGAGGCACACUACAAAGAAGAUGACCUGAAAAGUGACUGCUUACAGGGUCCACAUAUAGGUGACAUGAAAGUUCCCUCAGCCUUGUCAGUAUGAAUGAGCCUGUAAAGUGAAGAUGAAUGAGAAAGGGAUUAGAUGAGUCAUCUGAGUCUGUAAGGCCCUUGCAACAAGAGCAUGAAGAUGAUAAAAGAGGACAGAAAGGGAACAAGUUGGGUGAAAAGAAAACAAUGAAUUAGGGUGAAAAGAUCAAGCCAGUGACCAAACUCUCUACAACUAGAAAAGACUUAUCAGUUUCUCAUUUAAGAAGCCAAAUAAGAUAUCAUUUACAUCAAAAAUGAAAAAAUAAGGGGGCAUCUACUUUCUAUAAUAACGACCUGGGAAACUCAGACCAUCCUUCCUUCUGAGGACGCUGAAAAAAACUGAAUCCAAGAACUAACAACAUAUUAAGGAACUGCCAGGUGGUGACCCAGCAUGCUAAGAACACAGCAAGGUAGUGGCUAUAUGCAUACUGGCUUUGUAAUCGUUGCUUAAGCCGUAUUUGUGCUGUGCAUUUUUUAUUAACUCCUAUGCAUCGCCAGGACCCUGAAGGUGUCAUACUCUUCCUGACAGGACCUACCAGCUUGACGGAGAGCUCUAUCCCCAUUUCCUAAAGAAGAAACCUGAUCCUUGGAAAUGUUCAGUGGCUGCCCCAAGAUGUCGGCACAACCUCUUGUGCUCUUGCC
RNAcentral lists this long non-coding RNA (815 nucleotides) under Homo sapiens (human). Its description in RNAcentral is "non-protein coding lnc-TTPA-1:8". The record is from RNAcentral. Lineage: Eukaryota; Metazoa; Chordata; Mammalia; Primates; Hominidae.